This 327-nucleotide unclassified non-coding RNA is filed under the name soil metagenome. Its description in RNAcentral is "partial contains 5.8S ribosomal RNA, internal transcribed spacer 2, and large subunit ribosomal RNA". The stretch from base 1 to 120 matches the Rfam family "5.8S ribosomal RNA", at positions 35 to 154 of the family's 154-position model. The record is from RNAcentral.
GAUGAAGAACGCAGCGAAAUGCGAUAAGUAAUGUGAAUUGCAGAAUUCAGUGAAUCAUCGAAUCUUUGAACGCACAUUGCGCCCCUUGGUAUUCCGAGGGGCAUGCCUGUUCGAGCGUCAUUAUAACCCCUCAAGCUCAGCUUGGUGUUGGGGCCUGCCGCACGGGCAGCCCUUAAAAUCAGUGGCGGUGCCAUCUGGCUCUAAGCGUAGUAAUUCUUCUCGCUAUAGAGUCCCGGUGGAUGCUUGCCAUUAACCCCCAAUUUUCUAUGGUUGACCUCGGAUCAGGUAGGGAUACCCGCUGAACUUAAGCAUAUCAAUAAGCGGGGA